Juglans microcarpa x Juglans regia is the source of this 258-nucleotide long non-coding RNA. RefSeq lists it as uncharacterized. Lineage: Eukaryota; Viridiplantae; Streptophyta; Magnoliopsida; Fagales; Juglandaceae. The transcript has 3 exons. The record is from RefSeq and is a predicted model, not a curated record.
UCCCUCAUAAGCAUGCCCUGCUUCAUGUCCCACGCAAGCAUUCCUGCUGCAGUACGUGAGGCCAGAGGGUUGACAGAAGAUCUGGUCAGAAUAUCAGUGGGGAUCGAGGAUGUGAAUGAUUUAAUUGCUGAUUUAGACCACGCGCUUAGAACUGGACCUCAGUAGGCGCCCGCAGUAACCUGAAACGGCUUCAAAUUAUUUACAUACAGAUAGAUAAUAUGGUUAAAAGUGCCUAGGAAUGAAUGAUCCAAUGGCAGA